AGAGUUUGAUCCUGGCUCAGGACGAACGCUGGCGGCGUGCCUAACACAUGCAAGUCGAGCGAGGUGUAUACACCUAGCGGCGGACGGGUGAGUAACACGUGGGUAACCUGCCUCAGAGAGGGGAAUAGCCUUCCGAAAGGAAGAUUAAUACCGCAUAAUAUACGCAUUUAGCAUUAUGAGCGUAUCAAAGGAGAAAUCCGCUUUGAGAUGGGCCCGCGGCGCAUUAGCUAGUUGGAGAGGUAACGGCUCACCAAGGCGACGAUGCGUAGCCGACCUGAGAGGGUGAUCGGCCACAUUGGAACUGAGACACGGUCCAGACUCCUACGGGAGGCAGCAGUGGGGAAUAUUGCACAAUGGGGGAAACCCUGAUGCAGCAACGCCGCGUGAAUGAUGAAGGCCUUCGGGUCGUAAAGUUCUUUGAUUGGGGACGAUAAUGACGGUACCCAAAAAACAAGCCACGGCUAACUACGUGCCAGCAGCCGCGGUAAUACGUAGGUGGCGAGCGUUGUCCGGAUUUACUGGGCGUAAAGGAUGCGUAGGUGGAAACUUAAGUGGGAUGUGAAAUCCCCGGGCUCAACCCGGGAACUGCAUUCCAAACUGGGUUACUUGAGUGCAGGAGAGGAAAGCGGAAUUCCUAGUGUAGCGGUGAAGUGCGUAGAUAUUAGGAAGAACACCAGUGGCGAAGGCGGCUUUCUGGACUGUAACUGACACUGAGGCAUGAAAGCGUGGGGAGCAAACAGGAUUAGAUACCCCGGUAGU
This 759-nucleotide ribosomal RNA is filed under the name uncultured bacterium. RNAcentral's name for it is "bacterial SSU rRNA". It matches the Rfam family "Bacterial small subunit ribosomal RNA", at positions 8 to 794 of the family's 1533-position model. The record is from RNAcentral.